UUUUUUUUGUGUUCUUGAUGAUUUCAAACUCUAGCUGUAAACUCAGGAGAAAAUGUCUAAAUUUACUGAUACGACUUCCUUAAAAAUCCUUGGGUUGUCACCUAUACACACUUCCAUUGCUUUAGCCAACAUAUUUAUGUUGAAAUUUUGAGUCAAACUGUGGCUAGUAUAACUUUUACAAACGUAAAACGUGUUGACCACCUGGAAAAUUCACCAGUCUCCGUUUACCAUCUAGCUGUGUACAUGUGCACUGGUGUUGCCGUUGGGCAAUAUUACCAGUCAAUUGUUUGACAAAAAGAGUAGUGGGAGAAUACGGUGCGGUUG
This 324-nucleotide long non-coding RNA is filed under the name Setaria viridis. RNAcentral describes it as "long non-coding RNA (SVIR_LNC005231)". Lineage: Eukaryota; Viridiplantae; Streptophyta; Magnoliopsida; Poales; Poaceae. The record is from RNAcentral.